Molecule: ribosomal RNA, 253 nt
Filed under: uncultured bacterium
Lineage: Bacteria
Description: partial 16S ribosomal RNA
Rfam family: Bacterial small subunit ribosomal RNA
Source: RNAcentral
UACAGAGGGGGCAAGCGUUAUUCGGAAUUAUUGGGCGUAAAGGGCGCGUAGGCGGCCUGACAAGUGGAAGGUGAAAUCCCUCGGCUCAACUGAGGAACUGCCCUCCAAACUGUUUGGCUUGAGACCGGGAGAGGUGAGUGGAAUUCCCAGUGUAGCGGUGAAAUGCGUAGAUAUUGGGAGGAACACCAGUGGCGAAGGCGGCUCACUGGACCGGUACUGACGCUGAGGCGCGAAAGCGUGGGGAGCAAACAGG